GGAGACCGCAACCCCUACGUUUAGUUGCUAACGCGUGAAGGCGAGCACUCUAGACGAACUGCCGUUGACAAACGGAGGAAGGUGGGAUGACGUCAAAUCAUCAUGCCCCUUAUGUUCUGGGCUACACACGUGCUACAAUGGCCGGUACAGACGGACGCAAAGCCGCGAGGUGGAGCAAAUCCUAAAAAGCCGGUCUACAGUUCGGAUUGCAGGCUGCAAUUCGCCUGCAUGAAGUCGGAAUCGCUAGUAAUCGCAGGUCAGCAUACUGCGGUGAAUACGUUCCCGGGCCUU
RNAcentral lists this ribosomal RNA (291 nucleotides) under uncultured Bacillus sp. RNAcentral's name for it is "partial 16S ribosomal RNA". It matches the Rfam family "Bacterial small subunit ribosomal RNA", at positions 1091 to 1382 of the family's 1533-position model. Lineage: Bacteria; Bacillati; Bacillota; Bacilli; Caryophanales; Bacillaceae. The record is from RNAcentral.